Long non-coding RNA from Camellia sinensis, 2499 nucleotides. RefSeq lists it as uncharacterized. The record is from RefSeq and is a predicted model, not a curated record. NCBI's taxonomy places the organism in Eukaryota, Viridiplantae, Streptophyta, Magnoliopsida, Ericales, Theaceae.
CAUAACAUAACAUACAUCAGGUUCUAUUAAAUCACUCACACUCACUCACUGUCUCUCUCUCUCUCUCUCUCUCUCUCAAAUCCCUAAUUUCUUGAUCUCGUUGAUUGCUUCUAAUCUCGGCAACAAUUUCAUCCUCGAGGAGUCUCAUAGCAUCUCUCUCCAGUGUGAUUUCAGCAUCCAAGUUCGAUCGAUUAAUCGAUUUUAGUCUAAUAGAUUUGGUUUUUCAUCUAUUGUUCGUAUUUAUUCUUCGAAAAUGCUUAUUUAUCGGUGUAAUGUUUAUGUUGAUGAUUUCACUUCGUUGUGUUGAUUUAUGAUGUGCUGGUUCGAAUACACGAUCGCUGAACUGUAGUAUUAAUUUUGGCGCUGAGAUUUGAUGAUUCUGUUAAUUUUGGUGCUGAUUUGAUGAUUUAUGAUGUGCUGGUUCGAAUACUACUAGUUGUUGAUUCUGUUAAUUUUGGUGCUGAGAUUUGAAAUGUAGUAUUAAUUUUGGUGCUGAGAUUUGAUGAUUCUGUUAAUUUCAGCGAACUUGAGAGACGCCUCUAGGGGUUUCCUUACAGAUACUUCUGCUACUAAUUAAGAGUCAAUGUGUUCAACAUUUGGCAGGCAACAUUCUUGUGGCCAUCUCUGAUUACAUUGUUGCAUCUGUAUGUGAAAAUUUGUUACCUUGAAAGUUCAACUUUUUCGUUUUUUGUUUUUUUUUUUUGUUUUUCCUUGUGAUUUAUCUUGCAAAAUUGUAUGUUGAACAUAUUGACUCUCAAUCAGUAGCAGAAGUAUCUGGUUUAAGCAAAUCCAUGAAAAUGUUAUUUCUCUUGUCAAAUAAUUUUGCUGCAAUUGAUGAUUUUAAUUUUAUUUUUUUUUAAUCCCUUGAGGGAUUCAUUCUAGGUGAAGUCUUACACUUCACAAUUUCAAUUUCAACAAUCGUUUUCUCAAAGUCCAAUUUAUUUCAUGACUUGAAAUGCAAAUUACAAUUCUCAAAAUUGAAAAGAAUCAGGCCAAAUUCAGUAAUUUUCAGCUGAAAUUUUAAAAAAUAAGACUUCCAUGCAAUUCAUACAGAUUUUUAGUGGGUCUAAAAGCAAGCACUUCUUUUUUAUGUACGUCAAAAAGCAAGAACAUAGGGGAAAAUGGGUGUAUAUGGAUCCAUUCAACAACACGAGUGUUAAGAAUUUUCUUAAUGUUGUGUUUGAAUUUGUUGAAGGAAAAGAACAAGCUGCUUCUUUUUUUGGUCUGUGUGUGUGAAAUCAGUAACAUUACAGAGUGAAGAGAGGGAGAAGGAUAAAAUUCCAUGAGUUUGAUAAUUUUUUAGCACCAGCCAUUUCUGUAUUUUGAAAAGUUGCUCACUGGCUUGCAAUUAUAUAUUUAUUUAUUUAUUUAUUUUUGAGUAAAGUCCUUUUUUUUUUUUUUGAAUUAAAAUAGGGCCAAAAAAAAAAGAAACUACUGAAAGAGGAACAUCUCUACACCAAACUGAUCCGGCUGCCAAUUACUCUAUAAUUUUUAUAUUGCCUGUGUCUGUCUGUACAUGCAUGUAGCUUACACUUGGUGUUGUAGUAAUAGGAAUAGUUGUCUUGUUUGUGGAUUGAGAUAUUUGAACUGGUUGCCCCAGCUGAUGUUGGCUAAUAUUGGGGAAAGUUGUUGGGUACUUCGCUUUCACCAUUGAUGGUAUUAGUCUUGAAAAAUGAUCAUGUUUGAAGAUGUGGGAGCUGGUCUGUUCUCUUAUACGAAUAAAGUCGUUGAUACAAGAGAUCUUUUUAUGUAAUUUUUCUCUUCUGAUUUUCUAUUAUUAUUUAUGUCUAUUUAUGCUCUGUUUACACGGAUAGGUGUUGGAGUCUGACAGUGUUACAAGUACACUGGAUAGUAUCUGAUAAAUUUAAAUGUGAAAUAACUUGUUUCUUAUAUUCUUUUUGGUGAAAACAACUUGUUAGCUAUUUAACCAUUUGUUGCUAUCUAUAUGCUAAAUGAAUGAGGUGUUUUCAUUCAAUGUUAAGCCUUUGGACAGAAUUCAAAGCAGUAACUAGUAGCUGUUAACUGUCCAGUGGUGGACUUGGGUGAAUUGAGCCUCAAAAAGCUUUAACCACCGGAUCCUGAAAACAAGAAGGUCAUAAUCUAUGAUGAAAACCUGAAGAAAAUUUUUGCAGGGCGAGACCGAGUUGGGUUUCUUGAGAUUGCGGGAUUGAUGAAUCCACACUUUCUCAAGUGAGCCCUUGCAGGAGAAUGGAUUUUGACUUUCAAAGUCAUCGAUGAAUCUGUUUUUUUGUAAAUGAGGGGUCUCAGUAUUUUGCUGAUGAUACUACUUGCAGGAUUUAGCAGUGCUCUCUAUAUGUGACGUAGUAGUUUUUUUUUUGAACUUCUUCCAGUUGCCUACGCAUGAGCCUCGCUCUAUUUUGGUUUUAACGAGUGUUUAUGCUCAUUUUGUGUUCUUGUUAUAUAGGCUACGGAUCAGAAUGCAAUAUUUGUAGUGACGGUCAAUUUUUGGUUUAUAUAUCAUGUUAAGUUUUAGAGGAA